CCUACGGGUGGCAGCAGUGAGGAAUAUUGGUCAAUGGACGAGAGUCUGAACCAGCCAAGUAGCGUGAAGGAUGACUGCCCUAUGGGUUGUAAACUUCUUUUAUAAAGGAAUAAAACGAGGCACGUGUGCCUUUUUGCAUGUACUUUAUGAAUAAGGAUCGGCUAACUCCGUGCCAGCAGCCGCGGUAAUACGGAGGAUCCGAGCGUUAUCCGGAUUUAUUGGGUUUAAAGGGAGCGUAGAUGGGUUGUUAAGUCAGUUGUGAAAUUUUGCGGCUCAACCGUAAAAUUGCAAUUGAUACUGGCAGUCUUGAGUACGGUUGAGGUAGGCGGAAUUCGUGGUGUAGCGGUGAAAUGCUUAGAUAUCACGAAGAACCCCGAUUGCGAAGGCAGCUUACUAAACUGUGACUGACAUUGAUGCUCGAAAGUGUGGGUAUCAAACAGGAUUAGAUACCCGGGUAGUC
This 460-nucleotide ribosomal RNA is filed under the name uncultured bacterium. RNAcentral's name for it is "partial 16S ribosomal RNA". It matches the Rfam family "Bacterial small subunit ribosomal RNA", at positions 338 to 795 of the family's 1533-position model. The record is from RNAcentral.